AGUUGCUUUUGACAGAUCACAGCAAUGAACAAAGUAACUGACAGACCAUGUAACCCAGGCUGGCCUCAGACUUACUGUGCAGCUUCAGUGACAGGGUUUCUCUGUGCAGCCCUUGCUGUCCUAGAACUUGAUCUGUGUAGACCAGACUGUCCUGGAACUCAGAGAUCUGCCUUCCUCUGCCUCCCAAGUGCUGGGAUUAAAGAUGAAGACAGCACACAUGACCUCUUCCACCCUGAGUUACAUCAAUGAACGCCUUUGGACUUGAGAAGACCACCUUCCACAAUCGGCACACUGUGACUGCCAGCUGACACGAUGCUGAUCAUUUUGAUAAUACCUACUCACUGUUUUCCCCCUCCAGCUUUCCCUAAACCACUCCCAACAUGUCUCCAUCUCCAUAUCAUACGCACCAAUUUUUUUCCUUUUAAAUUACCAACUGAGUCUAAUUAGUAUGUCUCUAUGUCCAUGCACUAGAGCAUGAACCUUUCC
RNAcentral lists this long non-coding RNA (486 nucleotides) under Mus pahari (shrew mouse). RNAcentral's name for it is "lncRNA (MGP_PahariEiJ_G0005493.1)". The record is from RNAcentral. Lineage: Eukaryota; Metazoa; Chordata; Mammalia; Rodentia; Muridae.